This 253-nucleotide ribosomal RNA is filed under the name uncultured bacterium. RNAcentral describes it as "partial 16S ribosomal RNA". It matches the Rfam family "Bacterial small subunit ribosomal RNA", at positions 524 to 776 of the family's 1533-position model. The record is from RNAcentral.
UACGUAGGGUGCAAGCGUUGUCCGGAAUUAUUGGGCGUAAAGAGCUCGUAGGCGGUUUGUCGCGUCUGCUGUGAAAACCCGAGGCUCAACCUCGGGCCUGCAGUGGGUACGGGCUGGCUGGAGGCAGGCAGGGGAGAACGGAAUUCCCGGUGUAGCGGUGAAAUGCGCAGAUAUCGGGAGGAACACCGGUGGCGAAGGCGGGUCUCUGGGCCGAUACUGACGCUGAGGAGCGAAAGCAUGGGUAGCGAACAGG